Molecule: transfer RNA, 90 nt
Filed under: Myxococcaceae bacterium
Lineage: Bacteria; Pseudomonadati; Myxococcota; Myxococcia; Myxococcales; Myxococcaceae
Also listed under: 1 other name
Description: tRNA-Ser
Rfam family: tRNA
About the family: Transfer RNA (tRNA) molecules are approximately 80 nucleotides in length. Their secondary structure includes four short double-helical elements and three loops (D, anti-codon, and T loops). Further hydrogen bonds mediate the characteristic L-shaped molecular structure. tRNAs have two regions of fundamental functional importance: the anti-codon, which is responsible for specific mRNA codon recognition, and the 3' end, to which the tRNAs corresponding amino acid is attached (by aminoacyl-tRNA synthetases). tRNAs cope with the degeneracy of the genetic code in two manners: having more than one tRNA (with a specific anti-codon) for a particular amino acid; and 'wobble' base-pairing, i.e. permitting non-standard base-pairing at the 3rd anti-codon position.
Source: RNAcentral
GGACAGCUGGCCGAGUGGCUGAAGGCACCUGAUUCGAAAUCAGACAGACCUGCAAGGGUCUCGGGGGUUCAAAUCCCUCGCUGUCCGCCA